GACGAACGCUGGCGGCGUGCUUAACACAUGCAAGUCGAACGGAAAGGCCCUGCUUUUGUGGGGUGCUCGAGUGGCGAACGGGUGAGUAACACGUGAGUAACCUGCCCUUGACUUUGGGAUAACUUCAGGAAACUGGGGCUAAUACCGGAUAGGAGCUCCUGCUGCAUGGUGGGGGUUGGAAAGUUUCGGCGGUUGGGGAUGGACUCGCGGCUUAUCAGCUUGUUGGUGGGGUAGUGGCUUACCAAGGCUUUGACGGGUAGCCGGCCUGAGAGGGUGACCGGCCACAUUGGGACUGAGAUACGGCCCAGACUCCUACGGGAGGCAGCAGUGGGGAAUAUUGCGCAAUGGGCGGAAGCCUGAUGCAGCAACGCCGCGUGCGGGAUAACGGCCUUCGGGUUGUAAACCGCUUUCGCCUGUGACGAAGCGUGAGUGACGGUAAUGGGUAAAGAAGCACCGGCUAACUACGUG
RNAcentral lists this ribosomal RNA (468 nucleotides) under uncultured bacterium. RNAcentral's name for it is "partial 16S ribosomal RNA". It matches the Rfam family "Bacterial small subunit ribosomal RNA", at positions 28 to 507 of the family's 1533-position model. The record is from RNAcentral.